This 24-nucleotide non-coding RNA is filed under the name Arabidopsis thaliana (thale cress). Lineage: Eukaryota; Viridiplantae; Streptophyta; Magnoliopsida; Brassicales; Brassicaceae. The record is from RNAcentral.
UACGAAACGGUAUACCACGUGUGA